Molecule: ribosomal RNA, 589 nt
Filed under: uncultured bacterium
Lineage: Bacteria
Description: partial 16S ribosomal RNA
Rfam family: Bacterial small subunit ribosomal RNA
Source: RNAcentral
UGGGGAAUUUUGGACAAUGGGCGAAAGCCUGAUCCAGCAAUGCCGCGUGUGUGAAGAAGGCCUUCGGGUUGUAAAGCACUUUUGUCCGGAAAGAAAUCCUUGGCUCUAAUACAGUCGGGGGAUGACGGUACCGGAAGAAUAAGCACCGGCUAACUACGUGCCAGCAGCCGCGGUAAUACGUAGGGUGCAAGCGUUAAUCGGAAUUACUGGGCGUAAAGCGUGCGCAGGCGGUUUGCUAAGACCGAUGUGAAGUCCCCGGGCUCAACCUGGGAACUGCAUUGGUGACUGGCAGGCUAGAGUAUGGCAGAGGGGGGUAGAAUUCCACGUGUAGCAGUGAAAUGCGUAGAGAUGUGGAGGAAUACCGAUGGCGAAGGCAGCCCCCUGGGCCAAAUACUGACGCUCAUGCACGAAAAGCGUGGGGAGCAAAACAGGAUUAGAUACCCUGGUAGUCCACGCCCUAAAACGAUGUCAACUAGUUGUUGGGGAUUCAUUUCCUUAGUAACGUAGCUAACGCGUGAAGUUGACCGCCUGGGGAGUACGGUCGCAAGAUUAAAACUUAAAUGAAUUGACGGGGUCAUAGCUGUUUCCU